Oreochromis niloticus (Nile tilapia) is the source of this 250-nucleotide long non-coding RNA. RefSeq lists it as uncharacterized. The record is from RefSeq and is a predicted model, not a curated record. The transcript has 2 exons. NCBI's taxonomy places the organism in Eukaryota, Metazoa, Chordata, Actinopteri, Cichliformes, Cichlidae.
UGGACUUUGUAAAUCUGCAGUCUCAGAUCAACACAAUCCUGCCCUUCAGCACUAUCAGCAGCAGGAGCAGCAGCAACCUCUGAAAAGCAGCAUUGUACCCCAUCAGAUGUCGUGAGGUGCCAUGACGAGAAGGAGUGACUGAGGGGAUCAUCCAGAAGAUGGAAGCUGAGGCCAGGAGAGAGGCUUCAGGAGGAUCGGAGAUCGCCUUCAGUACAGAGAGCUGUGCUACUGAGCUUCCAGGAGAUCGUCA